Molecule: ribosomal RNA, 497 nt
Filed under: uncultured bacterium
Lineage: Bacteria
Description: partial 16S ribosomal RNA
Rfam family: Bacterial small subunit ribosomal RNA
Source: RNAcentral
GAUGAACGCUGGCGGCGUGCCUAAUACAUGCAAGUCGAGCGAACAGACGAGGAUCUUGCUCCUCUGACGUUAGCGGCGGACGGGUGAGUAACACGUGGAUAACCUACCUAUAAUACUGGUAUAACUUCGGGAAACCGGAGCUAAUACCGUAUAAUAUAUUGAACCGCAUGGUUCAAUAGUGAAAUACGGUUUUGCUGUCACUUAUAGAUGGAUCCGCGCCUCAUUAGCUAGUUGGUAAGUUAACGGCUUACCAAGGCAACGAUGCGUAGCCGACCUGAGAGACGGAUAGGCGACCUUGGAGCGGGACCGGGGACAAGGGUACUACGGGAGGGACCAGACGGGAAUGUUACGCAGCGGGGGAGAGUCUGACGGAGCGGGGGGGAGUGAGUGACGGCGGCGUCGGGUGCGGAAUAACGUGUUUCGAGGGGUGAACCACUGUGUCCGGAAACAAGGCCGGAUUGACGGUAACUAAUAAGAAAGCAACGGCUAACUACGUG